UACGUAGGGUGCAAGCGUUGUCCGGAAUUAUUGGGCGUAAAGAGCUCGUAGGCGGUCUGUUGCGUCGGCUGUGAAAACCUGGGGCUCAACUCCGGGCCUGCAGCCGAUACGGGCUGACUAGAAUUCGGUAGGGGAGACUGGAAUUCCUGGUGUAGCGGUGAAAUGCGCAGAUAUCAGGAGGAACACCGGUGGCGAAGGCGGGUCUCUGGGCCGAUAUUGACGCUGAGGAGCGAAAGCGUGGGGAGCGAACAGG
RNAcentral lists this ribosomal RNA (253 nucleotides) under uncultured bacterium. Its description in RNAcentral is "partial 16S ribosomal RNA". It matches the Rfam family "Bacterial small subunit ribosomal RNA", at positions 524 to 776 of the family's 1533-position model. The record is from RNAcentral.